GCUUGCUUUCUUUGCCGGCGACCGGCGCACGGGUGAGUAACACGUAUCCAACCUGCCCUUUACUCGGGGAUAGCCUUUCGAAGGAAAGAUUAAUACCCGAUGGGAUAAUUAUUCCGCAUGGUUUGAUUAUUAAAGGAUUCCGGUAAAGGAUGGGGAUGCGUUCCAUUAGGUUGUUGGUGAGGUAACGGCUCACCAAGCCUUCGAUGGAUAGGGGUUCUGAGAGGAAGGUCCCCCACAUUGGAACUGAGACACGGUCCAAACUCCUACGGGAGGCAGCAGUGAGGAAUAUUGGUCAAUGGGCGCUAGCCUGAACCAGCCAAGUAGCGUGAAGGAUGAAGGCUCUAUGGGUCGUAAACUUCUUUUAUAUAAGAAUAAAGUGCAGUAUGUAUACUGUUUUGUAUGUAUUAUAUGAAUAAGGAUCGGCUAACUCCGUGCCAGCAGCCGCGGUAAUACGGAGGAUCCGAGCGUUAUCCGGAUUUAUUGGGUUUAAAGGGAGCGUAGGUGGACUGGUAAGUCAGUUGUG
RNAcentral lists this ribosomal RNA (523 nucleotides) under uncultured bacterium. Its description in RNAcentral is "bacterial SSU rRNA". It matches the Rfam family "Bacterial small subunit ribosomal RNA", at positions 78 to 596 of the family's 1533-position model. The record is from RNAcentral.